RNAcentral lists this ribosomal RNA (827 nucleotides) under Frankliniella occidentalis (western flower thrips). RNAcentral's name for it is "eukaryotic LSU rRNA". It matches the Rfam family "Eukaryotic large subunit ribosomal RNA", at positions 1 to 651 of the family's 3401-position model. Lineage: Eukaryota; Metazoa; Arthropoda; Insecta; Thysanoptera; Thripidae. The record is from RNAcentral.
GACCUCAGUUCAGGUGAGAUUACCGGCUGAAUUUAAGCAUAUUAUUAAGCCGAGGAAAAGAAACUAACAAGGAUUCCCCUAGUAGCAGCGAGCGAACAGGGAAGAGCCCAGCGCUGAAUCCCCCGGGCCUCGCUCGGCGGGAAAUGUAGCGUUUGGGAGGGCCCGUCAACACGGCGACUCGCUCACUGGUUCAAGUCCAACUUGAAUGGGGCCACACAGAGGGUGACAGGCCCGUAGAGCAGGAGCGGUUGUCGUGUGGGUCUCUCCUUAGAGUCGGUUUGCUUGAGAGUGCAGACUUAAGUGGGUGGUAAACUCCAUCUAAGGCUAAAUAUGACCACGAGACCGAUAGCACACAAGUACCGUGAGGGAAAGGUGAAAAGAACUUUGAAGAGAGAGUUCAAGAGUACGUGAAACUGAAGUGGUGUAAACGGACGAGUUCGAAAAGUCCGAAUGGUGAGAUUCAAGCUUACCGUGCCGGUGGCCCUCGGGUUCAGAUGGCGUCGUCAGCUCGGGCUUCGGUUCGGGUCAUACGGCGUCACUCGUCCUGGGGGUAUCUGUCUGGUGCGGUGGGCUGCACUUCUCGCCUAGUAGGACGUCGCGACCCGUUGGGAUGUUCCGUUCACUGGCCCUCGGUGGAGCCCGCGCCGGAGCGUGGCCUUGUGCCGCGUUGCUGUUUGCACGGACCCGGGGUGACCUGAUCGGCGCCCGACGUAUCAAAGCUUGGGAAGAGGCCGCACAGAGGAUGCGUUCGAUGGCCGUUUCGGCCUACACUCGGACAGGCCUGCACCCUGGUCAGCGGCGCUUCUGCUUUCGAACUCACCGACCCG